AUUGAACGCUGGCGGCAGGCCUAACACAUGCAAGUCGAGCGGUAGCACAGAGAGCUUGCUCUCGGGUGACGAGCGGCGGACGGGUGAGUAAUGUCUGGGAAACUGCCUGAUGGAGGGGGAUAACUACUGGAAACGGUAGCUAAUACCGCAUAACGUCGCAAGACCAAAGUGGGGGACCUUCGGGCCUCAUGCCAUCAGAUGUGCCCAGAUGGGAUUAGCUAGUAGGUGGGGUAACGGCUCACCUAGGCGACGAUCCCUAGCUGGUCUGAGAGGAUGACCAGCCACACUGGAACUGAGACACGGUCCAGACUCCUACGGGAAGCAGCAGUGGGGAAUAUUGCACAAUGGGCGCAAGCCUGAUGCAGCCAUGCCGCGUGUGUGAAGAAGGCCUUCGGGUUGUAAAGCACUUUCAGCGGGGAGGAAGGCGGUGAGGUUAAUAACCUCAUCGAUUGACGUUACCCGCAGAAGAAGCACCGGCUAACUCCGUGCCAGCAGCCGCGGUAAUACGGAGGGUGCAAGCGUUAAUCGGAAUUACUGGGCGUAAAGCGCACGCAGGCGGUCUGUCAAGUCGGAUGUGAAAUCCCCGGGCUCAACCUGGGAACUGCAUUCGAAACUGGCAGGCUAGAGUCUUGUAGAGGGGGGUAGAAUUCCAGGUGUAGCGGUGAAAUGCGUAGAGAUCUGGAGGAAUACCGGUGGCGAAGGCGGCCCCCUGGGCAAAGACUGACGCUCAGGUGCGAAAGCGUGGGGAGCAAACAGGAUUAGAUACCCUGGUAGUCCACGCCGUAAACGAUGUCGAUUUGGAGGUUGUGCCCUUGAGGCGUGGCUUCCGGAGCUAACGCGUUAAAUCGACCGCCUGGGGAGUACGGCCGCAAGGUUAAAACUCAAAUGAAUUGACGGGGGCCCGCACAAGCGGUGGAGCAUGUGGUUUAAUUCGAUGCAACGCGAAGAACCUUACCUGGUCUUGACAUCCACAGAACUUUCCAGAGAUGGAUUGGUGCCUUCGGGAACUGUGAGACAGGUGCUGCAUGGCUGUCGUCAGCUCGUGUUGUGAAAUGUUGGGUUAAGUCCCGCAACGAGCGCAACCCUUAUCCUUUGUUGCCAGCGGUCCGGCCGGGAACUCAAAGGAGACUGCCAGUGGUAAACUGGAGGAAGGUGGGGAUGACGUCAAGUCAUCAUGGCCCUUACGACCAGGGCUACACACGUGCUACAAUGGCAUAUACAAAGAGAAGCGACCUCGCGAGAGCAAGCGGACCUCAUAAAGUAUGUCGUAGUCCGGAUUGGAGUCUGCAGCUCGACUCCAUGAAGUCGGAAUCGCUAGUAAUCGUAGAUCAGAAUGCUACGGUGAAUACGUUCCCGGGCCU
Molecule: ribosomal RNA, 1361 nt
Filed under: uncultured bacterium
Lineage: Bacteria
Description: bacterial SSU rRNA
Rfam family: Bacterial small subunit ribosomal RNA
Source: RNAcentral